RNAcentral lists this ribosomal RNA (492 nucleotides) under uncultured bacterium. RNAcentral's name for it is "partial 16S ribosomal RNA". It matches the Rfam family "Bacterial small subunit ribosomal RNA", at positions 29 to 507 of the family's 1533-position model. The record is from RNAcentral.
AGUGAACGCUGGCGGUAGGCCUAACACAUGCAAGUCGAACGGCAGCACAGUAAGAGCUUGCUCUUACGGGUGGCGAGUGGCGGACGGGUGAGGAAUACAUCGGAAUCUACUUUUUCGUGGGGGAUAACGUAGGGAAACUUACGCUAAUACCGCAUACGGCCUACGGGUGAAAGCAGGGGAUCUUCGGACCUUGCGCGAUUGAAUGAGCCGAUGUCGGAUUAGCUAGUUGGCGGGGUAAAGGCCCACCAAGGCGACGAUCCGUAGCUGGUCUGAGAGGAUGAUAAGCCACACUGGAACUGAGACACGGUCCAGACUCCUACGGGAGGCAGCAGUGGGGAAUAUUGGACAAUGGGCGCAAGCCUGAUCCAGCCAUACCGCGUGGGUGAAGAAGGCCUUCGGGUUGUAAAGCCCUUUUGUUGGGAAAGAAAAGCAGCAGGUUAAUACCCCGCUGUUCUGACGGUACCCAAAGAAUAAGCACCGGCUAACUUCGUG